This 1309-nucleotide long non-coding RNA is filed under the name Helianthus annuus (common sunflower). RNAcentral describes it as "hypothetical non coding rna". Lineage: Eukaryota; Viridiplantae; Streptophyta; Magnoliopsida; Asterales; Asteraceae. The record is from RNAcentral.
UUAUCAACCGCCUCUUUCUCUCUCUAUUCUUUUCCUUCACUGCUUCACACCGAAACCCUAGCCUCCGUGUUCCUUUGGCUUGAAGCUUCUACAUCUCAUUUUCUCUGAAAACAUACGCUUGUGCUUGAAUCGACUGAUAAGGGAGACACGCUUUGCCCUUUCCAAUUCCUGCUCUCAAACCCUACUGUCCGAAUACACAUCUUCCCCUUCACGUUUCCUGCCGAUCAAUCGAUUUAUCAAUCCUAUAAUAUACUAAUCUCAUCAAUGUUGAAAGCCAUCAUCAAUUUGGCGUAGAUGGGUAUUCAAGAAAAUAAAGGCAUAAGUGGGAGUUUGGGUUCGUUUCUUACUCGCAGAUGCUUUGGUUGUCUUAUGAGGGGCUACUUAGAAGGUUUUGGUGUGUGCUGCCUCCUUUAGAAGAAGAGGAUGUUCCUCAACUAUACCCAAAAGGGUCAAAUCUUGGUGAGUGAGCUUGAGAAACAGUUGAAAAUGGAGAUAAAAUCAAGAAACAGAGCCAGAGCCAGAGUCUAAAAGAUCUGGUAAAAGACAUAAUUUCUCUUUAGAUGAUGGUAAUUUAGGGUCUUUUAAUGAGGAUAUUUUUUGAGUAGUCUAAUGAGAAUAAGAGUUAGAAAGAAAGAUGGAGCUGGAGAUCUUUUAAAAAAGAAGAUGACAAUGGCUAGAUUUUAUGUAUUUUGGUUCCAGCGGAAUGAAAUGGUCAAGACCGGGUUCUCCGGGUUCGGAGGAACCCGACUUUGUAGUGGGGCUACUUCAACUUCAAAGAUGAAACAAGGGUUACUAAAUAAAGUUCAAUAAGCAAUCCCAAACACCCCUCUAAAAGUAACUUAUUUAGUUAAUGCUUAAAAGUCAAAUGUGGUCAUGAUUUGUUCUUUUGAUGUUUUCUUUUCGUAUAUGCUCAGGCAUGAUUUUACUUUCAACAACUUAUAUCAUGAGUUAGUUACUGUCAUUCAAUGUUAUACAAUCUUUUUGUUCAGUUUACUAUUCUACUAUUUCUUUGUUCAUAACAGUAUCGCCUCUAGCUCUAUUCUGCACCGAUUAUUGUGUUGCAGGAAAUUUGUCACGGAUAUCUUAAGCUUGAAAAUACACUGUUGGAAGUGCAGCUCCUCGUGUUAAAAAUACUUAAAAUAUGUGAUUUUGGGUAUUCAAAGUCAUCAGUUAGGCGUUCCCAAUCAAAGUCAGCUGCAACUUACAUUGCACUUGAAGUUCUUUCAAGAAAAGAAUAUGAUGGAAAUGUGGCUCCUUUGAGCUUUUAGUUAUUUACUAGACAUGCAAUUUAAUGUUAUUUCUUAUUUGA